This 143-nucleotide unclassified non-coding RNA is filed under the name uncultured Helotiales. RNAcentral's name for it is "partial internal transcribed spacer 2". The record is from RNAcentral. Lineage: Eukaryota; Fungi; Ascomycota; Leotiomycetes; Helotiales.
UGACCAACUCACGCUCCGCGUGGUCUUGGGGUCCGCUAACCGGCGGCCCUUAAACGCAGUGGCGGUGCCGUGCGGCUCUCAGCGUAGUAAUUUAUCUCGCUACAGGGUCCGGACGGUGCUGGCCAGCAACCCCAACUAUACUA